GGUUAUGUUAAAAGCUAACCAAGCCUUAGAUGCUUAGCAGGCUUUAACGAGUGAUCUGCCACAACGGGCUUGAAAUAGGUGCCCUAGAACAUUUAUGGCAGCAGUAAAGAAUCUUGGGCAAUGCAUUCAAGUGUGACCCAGCAAGUCUCCGUGGAUGAUGAAGAUAUUAAAUUAUAUUGUAAAAUUCUAUCUUUUUAUAUUUAUAAUGAAUUAUAAAAAGGAAAGCACAGGCUAAAUUCGUGCCAGCAGCCGCGGUAAUACGGAUUGUGCAAGUCUUUGACCUCGUGACUAGGUGUAAAAGGCCACAUAGGAGGUUAUAAAAGUUAUUGAGUAAAUACAGUGUAUAAACCUUGGAAUCUUAAUAAAACUUUAUAACUAGAAUAUAAUAGGGGUUUUAAGAUAUCUUCUAAGUAAAAGGUGAAAAUUUGUAGAAAUAGAAGGGAUGACCUAUUAAGUGAAAACAUUAAAUCAUUUUAUAUUGACUCUGAAGUGCUAAAGUAUGGGGUUCAAAUGGGGGUUGUAUUCCCAAUAGUCCAU
This 537-nucleotide ribosomal RNA is filed under the name uncultured bacterium. RNAcentral's name for it is "bacterial SSU rRNA". It matches the Rfam family "Bacterial small subunit ribosomal RNA", at positions 251 to 798 of the family's 1533-position model. The record is from RNAcentral.